UUUUAUAUACUAUCACUAACCAUUUUUAUUCAGUCUUAAGUUUUGUAUAUACAAAGUAAAAUAUCUUAUAGUUGAAGUUGAUGUCUUUUAAAUAAAGGUUUUAUUUUAAAAGUGUAAUAAUAAUAAUUAAUUUUUAAGUUAUAUUUUAUUUUAUUAUAGGUACAACUUAUGAUUAAAAUACUGUACACUCUGAUCGAUUUCGCUCAAGUAAAAUGUCUCAUGGAACAUUUUAAUAUCCCAUAUCAAUAUUACAAUCUGACAAAGGUAUGGUAUAUUGCAUGAUAUAAAUAUAAUGAUCAAAAUUACACUUUUGUUAGUAAAACUCUUUGUAUCAACCACAAUGUUUGCUCUGAUUAUUUAAUUGUUAAAUUAAAUUUGUAAUUAAUUUCUUUACUAGUGCUUUUUAUAACGCCUAUACUUUAGAGAGAUCGUAUUCAACAUGUGAAAAAAAAACCUCAAGAUGGAAUAAUAUUUUUUGAACAGUGUCUUCCAAAGUAAAUGUUCUUGUCAUGUUUGUCAGAAUUGGUAACAUUCUAUUUGCGUUGUUUCAAGUGAUUGAAAUGAUUUGAAUUUAAGAUUUGCUUUUCAAAAGAAAAAUACCCCAUGCACGCCCCAUACUUUCUGACCCUAUUUUUGUCUGUGUUGUGCAUUACUUUCAAUCUUCAAAUGUAAGUAAUUGCUAAUUUAAGAAAAUUGCUUAUUCAAUACUAGCCUUUUAGGUUACAUUUUGAAUUUGGAAGUCGUCUGAUAGAGUUACAAGUAAAAAUAAUGAGAGAGAUAAUUGAAAAAUUUGCAUGAGCUUGGAAACAGAGUUCUUGACGCACGUCGUUAGUAGAGUUUAAAAUCUCAUAAUUAGUUUAUUGCUUAGGAGGCCAUAUUAUAUUUUAUAUCGUACGAUAAUUCACAAGGGAGAUA
This 915-nucleotide unclassified non-coding RNA is filed under the name Melitaea cinxia (Glanville fritillary). RNAcentral describes it as "misc RNA ENSMCXG00005008288.1". Lineage: Eukaryota; Metazoa; Arthropoda; Insecta; Lepidoptera; Nymphalidae. The record is from RNAcentral.